GCCUGUCUCCAGAAAACAAACUCAGUCAGGUAGGGCAUGAGACUCUUAAUCUCAACGUCAUGGGUUUGAUCCCCACGUUGGGCA
Podarcis lilfordi (Lilford's wall lizard) is the source of this 84-nucleotide non-coding RNA. The record is from the annotation of a GenBank genome assembly. NCBI's taxonomy places the organism in Eukaryota, Metazoa, Chordata, Lepidosauria, Squamata, Lacertidae.